Molecule: transfer RNA, 74 nt
Filed under: Candidatus Peregrinibacteria bacterium
Lineage: Bacteria; Candidatus Peregrinibacteriota
Description: tRNA-Gly
Rfam family: tRNA
About the family: Transfer RNA (tRNA) molecules are approximately 80 nucleotides in length. Their secondary structure includes four short double-helical elements and three loops (D, anti-codon, and T loops).
Source: RNAcentral
GCGGGUAUAGUACAUCGGUAGUACGUGUGCUUCCCAAGCAUGAGAGACGGGUUCGACUCCCGUUACCCGCUCCA